CUAACACAUGCAAGUCGAACGGUAGCACAGAGAGCUUGCUCUCGGGUGACGAGUGGCGGACGGGUGAGUAAUGUCUGGGAAACUGCCUGAUGGAGGGGGAUAACUACUGGAAACGGUAGCUAAUACCGCAUAACGUCGCAAGACCAAAGAGGGGGACCUUCGGGCCUCUUGCCAUCAGAUGUGCCCAGAUGGGAUUAGCUAGUAGGUGGGGUAAUGGCUCACCUAGGCGACGAUCCCUAGCUGGUCUGAGAGGAUGACCAGCCACACUGGAACUGAGACACGGUCCAGUCUCCUACGGGAGGCAGCAGUGGGGAAUAUUGCACAAUGGGCGCAAGCCUGAUGCAGCCAUGCCGCGUGUAUGAAGAAGGCCUUCGGGUUGUAAAGUACUUUCAGCGGGGAGGAAGGUGUAGUGGUUAAUAACCACAGCAAUUGACGUUACCCGCAGAAGAAG
Molecule: ribosomal RNA, 451 nt
Filed under: uncultured Gammaproteobacteria bacterium
Lineage: Bacteria; Pseudomonadati; Pseudomonadota; Gammaproteobacteria
Description: bacterial SSU rRNA
Rfam family: Bacterial small subunit ribosomal RNA
Source: RNAcentral